Non-coding RNA from Galeopterus variegatus (Sunda flying lemur), 75 nucleotides. The record is from the annotation of a RefSeq genome assembly. Lineage: Eukaryota; Metazoa; Chordata; Mammalia; Dermoptera; Cynocephalidae.
GGCCAGUUAGCUAACUUGGUUAGAGUGUGGUGCUAAUAACACCAAGGUCAAGGGUUCGGAUCCCCUUACUGGCCA